AGUGCAUCAAUCACUGCUGAGCUCGACAAAGCCUUUGCAUUGUAUUCGUUAAAAUUUAAUUGACUGAACACAAGUGCUUCUUGGCGUCUCUGCAUGGCUGUUUUUGGCAUCAUACGUGACUCACGCCUCAUUUACGACUCAUUCUGAUGGGCACCUUGAGUCAUAGUUGCCUAACACCUUUUGAUUGUGUUUCCUGUAUUAAAGUCUGAGCUCGGUGUUUCAUAAUGGCCAUUAUCAAAGAUUGUAUUUCUAAAUUGGGGCCGUGGGGACUUCCUCCCCCAGCAGGAGCAGCUCUGAUGCUCUCCCAGGGGAAAUGAAGGAAUAAGCAAUAGACAGAUCGACAAAAGAGACUGAAGCAUGGCUCAGGGAUGGAAUUAAAUAUUACAGCCUGCCGCUGAGAAAGCCGUAGCAUGAUUUCAUUUCAUUACAAUGUGCAUACACAAGCUUACAGUAUGUGCUGUACAUCGAUUGUUUCACGAUUACAGCAGGCAUCAAAAUUAAACUGAUAUAGUCUGUAUUAAAUGACCUUCUUAAGUGAUGAGGGUCUCCAAUCAUACCAGCAUUCCUCCUGUGACUAAUCUGGGACAUAAGUGAAGAGACACCCUUUUAUAAGCUCAUGAGAAGAUUUAUCAAGGAUGGUGGGGGUAGUUGUCCUUCAGGAGUUACAUGCCACAUGAUAUAUUAUGAAGAAAAUUAUUGAAAUUGACCCUGUAGAGAUGCCACUUCUGAUUAUUGCCCCUCUGGGCAUUUUUGAUUGUCUUCUACCUUCUCAAAGAAAGUUAAUGAGCACGAAUGUUGUUAGGAAAGGUGGUUUGUUAUUUUUCAUUUGAUUUGGUGUCUCCAUUUAGAUUCUAAAUGAGUCUGAAAGACACAAAAGGACUUUUUCCUUUUUUUUUGCUCAGGUUAAUGACUGCAAAUUUCGAAGGUGUUUGAAAACAGCCUAAGAUCAGGGCUUAUCAAUGUCUAACUUGAUCAAAUCUUCUUCUUUUUGGGGUUUAUCAGAAUUUCCCCCCCUUACCAACUUUAAAAAGAAAGAGUCAUUCCCCUGAGAUGAAAAAAAAAAGAUCAAAAGAGGUCCCCAGAAACUCUUUUCCUGUUUUAACUUUCAAAGAAAUACGUUAAUUAAUACAUUAGUUGAUAAAAUAAUAUAAUACAGCUCUUCCAAUAAUAUUCCAACACUUUAAAAGUAACCAAACUUAGUUAUCAAUGGUAUUAAAAACUAAAACAGCAUGAGAGUACCCAAUAAAAUGCUCAAAUUCGAGUUAAUCUAAAUUUAUGAUCUAUGAUGAUUUAAUCCUGUAAUUUUUGCAUUACAGGGAUGCAAAAAUCAAAUUUGCAUCCCUGUAAAGUAUCUAAUAAGUGUGGAUGGAGAUUAAAAGUUUUUAAUUUUAUGACUCUUGGAGAAAAAAAGAACUUAAUCCAAACAAAAAAUACUGAUACAGAAAAGCAGAGAUCUCAGGAUUGAACCUUGGGGAACACCAAAAGUUAAAACCUUUGCUCAUGAUAGAUUCUAGCUAAGAAAUCGGUAUUUGAAAUGGAUUUAUUUUAACUAUAUUGCAGCUAUGGUUUUGCAACUAAAAUAUUUAAAUCCCUGCCAUUAUUUUAAAGCUCCUUUGCUAACAUUUAACCAAAUAUAUAACCUUUUCAUUGGAACGAACAGAGGCAUGUUUACCUUGUCUGAACGUUUUCAAAUCAUUUUUCAAUAAUUCUGAUCAAAUCAGCUCAGGACCAAGAUUUAAAGGGGUUAUGUCUUUAAAACCCAAAGCAGGUGAAAGCAUCGUCCCUGUUGGAGAGUCAUCCUUUUUUUUCUGGACUAAAUUAUUAACACAAAAAUACAAAGGGUGCUCAUUGUCUGGACUGCAAUUUACAAUAUUAAUGCCAGUAACCAUUGAUGCCCAUCAUUUGAAGAUUUUUGGAGCUUUAAUUGAAUUCAGGAAGCAAAUGUGUCAGCAUAGACAGUGUCUGAAAAGGUAAAUGUGUUCUGGCGCUGUGGUAAUGCUACAGCAGGUACUAACUGCAGAAAUUAAAUGAGAUGACAGAUUUUUUUUUUUUAAUUUUCUGUUUUUGUGGGCCUUAAUUUAGUGUUUUAAUGUGGCUAAAUGGAUCCUAAUGGCCCAGAAUUGAUCACAAUGAUGAUAUUGUUGUAGCAAGUUCCACUUUCAAGUGAUGAUUCAUUUAUAGAGAUUAAUUACUAUGCAAGAUUAUUGAUUUAUAAAUAUCCAUGAUAGGACUAUUAUUCUAAAAGAAGGUGUCAUUUUACCAGCUUAUUUAUCAGAGUAUCUUAUUUUCAAUUUUGUCAACAAAAAAGAUUUUCACUCUGUGAGGUAAAAUUCAUGGGUUAUAUUUUGUCCGCUACUGCUCCAAAGAAAGAAUGAGAAAAAACAAUCCUAGCACUUUUUUAAUAAUGGUGACUGAAUAAUGCAUUAGAGCGAAUCCCACAUGAAAUUUGUGGAGGGCAUGUCUUGGACUGCGAGUCGGUGGAGUGUAUCUGCGUGUGUCUCUCUCUCUCUCUCUCUCUCUCACUGAGGGGUUUUGGUGCGGUUCCAUAUGAGGGCAUCUUUUUCUUAGAUGCUGCAGGCAAUCUUUGUUCAUUCAACUGCAUAAUGACAGAGUAAAGACAACAGGGGAUCUAUGGCCUGGAGGAGAGGAGAACACAAGAAUUCAGAAACACAGAUUUGAUGAUACCUCUCCCACAUGGGUCGGGGUGUUUGGUUUUAGUGUUAGCUCGCAGGAUAAAGACAAGGAGAUACUAACAAGAUAUGAUGUCUUUCUAUGAGAGUGAGUCAUUACCCUUCAUGCUGGCGAGUUUGCCUGAUAAAGUGAGUCAGACCGUACUGUGGAAUUAACUAUUUGUAGUUAGUAAAGCAGUUCGUUGUCUUAUAGGGCUGGGCGAUAAACCGAAAAUUUACCGAUUCCGAAAUUUACGUCCAUAACCGAUGUCACUAUUUGGUGUCAAAAAAGUAAAUAAAUAAAAGUUGGUUUUGGAUGUGUGUAGGUAGUAGGUUACGGUCUCAUGUCCCUUUAAGACGCUGUCCUACGUCAGAGACAAGACUCCACCCCAUCCAGUCUGUGAUGAAGAGGGAAAGACAGGUGAGGAGAUGGAGGACGGUUCAAAAGUUGGAGCGGCUGGAGCAGCAGCUGAAGUAGACGAAGUAAAUUUGGGAGGCAGCUUGUGGAGUGGUUAUCUUCCAUUUAUUGUUAUCAAGGUAAACUGCUCAAUAUAUCAUCAUAUUGCUUAAAGGCCAUAUUGCCCAGCCCUAUUAUGUUAGAUCUAGUUUAACUUCAUUUAAUCCCACAAGCUACCUCAGCUACUAGCUCACUUUUUUCCCAGCAGUCCUGAAAUUGAUCUGUUCUUACCAUUAGUUGGCUGGUUUAGUCAAAUUCACAUGAUUGCAAGUAAUUGCUUUAAAUGAAGUUAAAUUAGAGGUUAAAAUUUUGGGGGGUUUUGGGGAGUGAGAUAAACUGGGUUCCUACACAGCUGGAAUUUCCAUACUUUUCCAUACCCUACUUUUUAAAUUAUUUUUGGAAAUACCUACUUUUCUAUUUUAGAAAACAGUAUUUUUGAACUUUGGUAAUAGUCUGGAAGCAUUAAGUAUUUUUCCGUACUUUAUUUUUCAUUUUUCAUACCUUUUAAGACCUGGAAAUUGAUCAAACUAUUUUUAUCCAUACUUGCGUAGGAACCCUGGAUUAAUCAACACAGUGUGGAAGCUCAGAGUUGCCAAUAAAAAGGCCAACAAUAUCUGUGAGCUGAAACUGUCAAGUACAGUAAGGGUCACAUACUGUUAAGGAGCUCUUAGUAGCUUUAGAUGUCCAUCUGUCUGUCGUCCGAGUUACAGCAGAUGUCACGGACAAGCUGUGUGCAACUUAGCCAAGACGAAGCUUUACAUGUUUAUAAUAGAGGACUGUAAUAUAGUGAUGUUUAAUUAAAUGUGUUCAAAGCAUCAAAACGUAAAAUGUAAACUUUGCAAAAUAUGUGGCGCACACCACUUUCAGGCCUCUCUUUGUGCCUAUGCUGUGUUUAUAAAGGUGACACUUUCUGUUAUUUCCGUCCCAGCUGGUUUAUUCCUCUAUAAAUUCUCUGCUUGUUGUCAUAGGGACUCUCAAUUUAGAGAGCUGAUGAAAAAAUACUUUUGCUUUGAGUUACUCCGUAGUAAUAAGGUCGUCUUUUCAGCAGUGGAACACGACAACCUUCCUAUUGUCACUCUACACCACACAGUGAAUGGAAAUCGCAUUUCCAGCUCUCUCUUUGAAUAUUACAGAGCACAACACUACAUGACAAUUUCCCAUCCUGCAGUAGUUCUGUCUAAGUUAAAUCACCAACAGUACUUGGAUUUAUGGUCAAAUGUGGACAUCAUGCUUCAGAAUAAUGAUUCAGAUUUUUGGCCUAUUCCUCGUUUUGAUUUUUUUCGAUGUAAAUUAUUACUGAUGGGUGAAAGGGUUUGCAAAACUUAAUCAUUUUUGCCAGCAUGUAGGUGUGACGCAGGUUUGUGUCAGAGCUCAGAAACAGUUGCCCAAGAUAGAGAGAAGAAAAAAGUCUAAUUCUGAGAUAGAUAGAUAGAGGGGCCGGGCUCGAUCAGGAUUGAAGCGGUGGUAGGAGGUUGGCGUGAGUUCCCAUUUAGAAACAGAAAACCGCUGAGGAGCACCUGUCGUUACAAUCUGUCCACCUCCACAGUGCAGCUCUGUCAGCCUGCACAGGCAGUGGCUGCUUCUAAUCUGCGGUUGUGUUGUCUGGUCAGAAAUGUAGGUAUUUCUACCUCUCUGCAUCACAUCACCUCUGCAUUAAAAAAAAAUCUCACUCUCACAUCUCUGUCUCUGAAGAAUCUAUAUCUGCUUUAUUUUUUGUUGUAGAGUGCCGUGAUAUUGUUUCCAAAUUCAGCAUGUUCAUCUUUCAAAAGACAUGUUUCAAGACCAGUUAUGGCACAGCUGCACAUCGAAGGCUAUCCUACCUCUUACGCUCCUUCAAAUGCAGCAGAGAAAUGUGCCCAUCUGUGAAGCGGCUGCAUCCUUGUUUCGAAGGCCAGAGCUGUUUAAACAAACAAAGGUCUGUUUCCUCGGUUAGUCACAAGGCUGGAUAAAUUUGGUGUCACUCUAUUGUCAUUGUGGUGAAAGGGGUCGAUUCCUGUUCUCCAUUCUGGCCAAUCAAUGAGUCAUUUCCUUCUUCUUUGUCAGUGUUUGUACGAGACAACACUGAUACAAACCUGGUGGGAUCCAGAUGAUUUUGUUAUUUGACUAAGUGAACCAACGACAUGAAACUGCAGUCAUGUUCAUAUUUCAUCCCCCGACCAUCAUGUGUGAAAACGACCUGAGUUCCUUCCCUUCGGUUACCUAAAUAGCACUAACCUUCACUUCCAUUACUGCUCUCUCCCUCCUGCUCAGAGAUUCAUGAGCCAGCCCACUUGCCAAAAUCUACAGGAGUCACUGUAAUCACAGGAAUUUGAGAACAAUAUGAGGAUAUUAUGAAUGCUUUAAUGCAGCAAUAUCAGCGUAUUAUUGUGAAAACCAAUAAUUGCGACGGUUUGCUACAUUGAUGUUUUUCAU
This is a non-coding RNA of Xyrichtys novacula (pearly razorfish), 5538 nucleotides long. NCBI's taxonomy places the organism in Eukaryota, Metazoa, Chordata, Actinopteri, Labriformes, Labridae. The record is from the annotation of a GenBank genome assembly.